Molecule: ribosomal RNA, 497 nt
Filed under: uncultured bacterium
Lineage: Bacteria
Description: partial 16S ribosomal RNA
Rfam family: Bacterial small subunit ribosomal RNA
Source: RNAcentral
GAUGAACGCUGGCGGCGUGCCUAAUACAUGCAAGUCGAGCGAACAGAUGAGUAGCUUGCUCCUCUGACGUUAGCGGCGGCCGAGUGAGUAACAAGUCGAUAACAUACUUCUAAGACUGGCAUAACAUCCGGAAACCGGAGCUACUACCGGAUAAUAUAUUGAACCUCUUGCUUCAAUGGUGAGAGACGGAUUUUCUGUCGGUUAUAGAUGGACUCGCGGCGGAUUAGCUAGUUGGUGAGGUAACGGCGUACCAAGGCGGCGAUGCGUAGCCGACCUGAGAGGGUGGUCGGCCGUCACGGAAGGGAGACGCGACCGAGAAUCCUACGGGGGGCAGCAGUAGGGAGUCAUCCGGAAUGGGCGGAGGCCGGAUGGUGCAACGCCGCGGCGGGAAGGAUGGUCGCCUGAGGGUUGAACACUGUUUUUGGGGAAGAAGAAAGGUUGAAGUGUUUAUGCGCGGGUUGACGGUAGCUGGACAGAAAGCGACGGCUAACUACGUG